UAGAAAUUAAAUAAAGGACCUCAUAUAAUCUCGGGAAUAUGGCCCGUAAGUCUCUACCUGACGACCGUUAAUCGUCGGACUAUGAGGGAAGAUCGGUUGCAG
This 102-nucleotide non-coding RNA is filed under the name Pontibacillus marinus. Its description in RNAcentral is "Guanine sequence". It matches the Rfam family "Purine riboswitch aptamer". Rfam says of the family: Riboswitches are metabolite binding domains within certain messenger RNAs that serve as precision sensors for their corresponding targets. Allosteric rearrangement of mRNA structure is mediated by ligand binding, and this results in modulation of gene expression. A class of riboswitches that selectively recognises guanine and becomes saturated at concentrations as low as 5 nM. Lineage: Bacteria; Bacillati; Bacillota; Bacilli; Caryophanales; Bacillaceae. The record is from RNAcentral. RNAcentral also lists the same sequence under 1 other name.